This is a long non-coding RNA of Acipenser ruthenus (sterlet), 4975 nucleotides long. RefSeq lists it as uncharacterized. The transcript is spliced from 11 exons. The record is from RefSeq and is a predicted model, not a curated record. NCBI's taxonomy places the organism in Eukaryota, Metazoa, Chordata, Actinopteri, Acipenseriformes, Acipenseridae.
UCCUGUUCAGACUAUUUAUUAGGGUAGCAAAGCAAAUUUCGCCCCCGUCUGUUAUAUAACGCAAAAGUAAAUUGUAAUUUGAAGAUAAACACGUAUUCAAAGUAAUUGCUGUAGUCAAUUUGACCGAGUUAUUUACUACUGUACUUGAAAGUCGAAUGUUGUGGUGCGAACUACAUUUCCCAUCAUCCCCAGCGGAAGUAAACUAUUGUGUCCAUAACAACUUUCAACUAUUUCCUUGUUUGUGCACUCUACAGUUCUGUCCAAACCCACGCUCACACAAGCAGUGUAUUUGAAGAGGUGCCUGCAGGAAGAAAGGAUAGAGAAGUAUAUUAUAUUAGCAGUGCCUGGCCCUCCUUUCUGAUCACCCAAGCAUUACAAAUAAUAUUGUCCACAUUUCCAGUUCAUUCUAGUACAGAGGGAUGCUUCUAAAUACUCUACAUUUUCCUAAUAUUUUAUUUCUUACCGAUUACCCCAUAUUUAUGUUACCAGUACGGUAAGGAAUUGUAUGAUUAUCAUUUUUUUAUGCAUGAAAUAACACCCUAAACAGAUUUAUAAAGUUGAGUUGCUAAUGAUAGGAUCCAAAGGGAACAUGACUUAUAAUAAUUGAAACAAUGCACAGAUGUAGUACCUAAGGUUGUAUUAGGCAUAACCAACAUCUCCCAUAUAAAUUGUGGGACCAGGUUGUAGGAAGCCGGGAGGUGCAAUGAUUGCAUGUCUACAUGGUCCAUUGCCUCCAAUCUGAAACGCAAGAUGUCUCUGGUAUUCUGGAUAUCAACCCUAGUGAUUUUUCAGACUGAUUCAUGAGGGCCGAGCCAGCACUUGUGCACAGUGACGUGGUGUGACUCUCACUGGCUUCUACACACAUUCUGUGAUUCUCUAGGUUCAAUGAAUGUGUUUCUGUAUGUCUGUUGGUGUUGUGAUUGUGUUUUUUUGUGCAUGCUUUAUGUGUGCAAAUGACGAGUGGGUUAGAUACAUUUGGAUACAAAUGAAAAGAUUAAUAAUACUUUCAUACUAGUUUAAGAUUUAGAGCAGAUAUUUUUUUUCAUGCGUAGUUAACUAGCCAAAGAAAAUCAGUUUAAUACAUUUGUGUGUCACUUAAUUUCCUCUGCCGUGCUCAGCCAGAUGCAUUAUCACAGCUCAAUCACACUUUGCCUUUAUCACCCUACCUUCACAAAUUAUAGCAGGCAAUAAUUGCUUCAUAAUGGGCAUUCAACUUAUUACUUAAGGUAAAGAGGCUAGUAGCUGCUGUUGCUAAUGGGAUUUUAAUCCUGUUACUGUUUUUUGAUUUCAGGCUGGUUUUAAGUCAGCAUGACAUUUAUAUUGAAGAGUGAUUAAUUAUUCCAGGCAUUGAUUGGGGUAAUCUAAAUUUGAAUACACUUUUGACAAAUUAAAAUAAGCUAAAUAAACAUGCACCGUAUAAUUCUCGUCUAGGUACCCAUGUGCACCCUGCACAGAUCCUUACAUCCCUUCCAGAAAACUGGAAAAAAAGUCUUGUUUUGUAUAUCAGGUCAUGUAGUUGUUGACAUCUGAAUUAUCUAUAGCAUUAAAUUUGGUCAUACACAAACACAGUGCAGAAAAAACAUCUAAGAGCAUAAUAAAAAAAUUAAAAAAUCCCCAAACAUAUUAAAAUAUAUAUUUGGGGAUUAUCUUGUAAGAAUCAACAAGGUUUGGUUUUUCAUACCUCUUUAUAGUUCAAAUCACCUUAAUAAACAAAAAUAUAAAUUUAUAUGAAAAAGUAUUGUUUUCUGUAGCACUUGUCAUGCAAGGCAGUGAAGUGGUUAAAUAAAUAUGUAUUCCAAAUUAAAUUUAUAGAUUAACAUUAAACCCAAACACCACUCUAUUAAGAAUAUUUAAAUGUGAAGAAUUUUAUUUUUAUGUCAAACAAAGUUGUUAAGUACUGUUUUCGGAAAGAAAACAGGGAAUCUGAUGACAUUGCUUUGUGUAAGAGAAUACGCUCUUAGUAUUUACAUGUUUCCCCUUGGUCACAUACUAAGAUUACAUGGCCUGAAUUAUCAUUUUAAUGCAGAUGACACCCACAUUUAUGUGCAUACUAAAUCUGAUGUUGAUGUUGCUGCCUCUGUGCUUGCUGAUUGCAUUUCUGAUAUUAAGAAUUGGAUGUCACAAAACUUUCUGCAUCUUAACUGUGACAAGACAGAGGUUAUGUUGCUAGGCACUGCCCGCCAAUUACGUAAAACCACUGCUGUAAACUUGUCAGUUGAUGGUACUAUGUUUGAGAUUAGAUCCAAAAAUGAGAAAUUUGGGAGUUAUUUUUGAUCCUGGAUUAAUUUUUGAACCUCAUGUGCAGAAUACUGUUAAGGCAUAAUUUUUCCACAUUAGAAACAUCGCUAGGGUGUGACCUAUGCUUUCUGCUUCUGUAGCUGAAAAACUGGUUCAUGCAUUUUUUUCGAGGAUUGAUUAUUGUAAUGCUGUGCUUGCAGGUGUCUCCAAAAGCACACUGUCCAAAUUACAACAUGUUCAGAACUCAGCAGCUCGUAUCCUGACAAGGUCACGUGCAAGGGAUCAUAUCACUCCUGUUCUAGAGUCCCUGCACUGCUUGCCUGUCAGGUUUCGUGUUGAUUUUAAAAUGUUACUUCUUACUUUUGAGGCUCUACAUGGUUUGGCUCCACAGUAUUUAUCUGAUCUCUUAUCAGUCUACACCCCUUCACGCAACCUUCGCUCAACUGAUCUUGGAUUGUUAUGUGCUCCCUCUGUUCACCUGCGUUCUAUCUUGGAUUGUUAUGUGUUCUCUCUGUUCACCUGCGUUCUGUCUUGGAUUGUUAUGUGUUCUCUCUGUUCACCUGCGUUCUAUCUUGGAUUGUUAUGUGUUCUCUCUGUUCACCUGCGUUCUAUCUUGGAUUGUUAUGUGUUCUCUCUGUUCACCUGCGUUCUGUCUUGGAUUGUUAUGUGUUCUCUCUGUUCACCUGCGUUCUAUCUUGGAUUGUUAUGUGUUCUCUCUGUUCACCUGCGUUCUAUCUGGGAUUGUUAUGUGUUCUCUCUGUUCACCUGCGUUCUAUCUUGGAUUGUUAUGUGCUCCCUCUGUUCACCUACGUUCUAUGGGCGACAGGGCUUUCUGUUGUUAAGCCCCAAAACUAUGGAACACCAUUCCAAAAGAGGUCAGGGAUUCUGUCACUCUUAAUGCUUUUAAAUCUAGCUUAAAGACCUACUUUUAUAGAAAGGCAUUUUUAGUUAAUAAAUCAAAUGCCUUUAGCUUCAUAAUUCAACAUGUUUUAUGUUUUUAAAUACAGUAAAAGCUGACAAAUGCAGCAGAACCUAAUAAAGUCAAUAAAAUCAAUGGGGCCUUUUAUUUACAGUAACAGUUUUUUAUGACCUAAAAUGAUUCCUAUUGGCUGAAGCACUUUCCAGUGUUCAAAGGUUUAUAUACAGUAUAUAUAUAAUGAACAAUGUUUCUAUGUGGCACUGAUACGGCAAGUGCUGUCAGACUCUCGCUUCUCAUUGAUUUUACUGUAGGCAGACAGAAGAAUAGUAGUUUAAAUCCCAUUGCUUUCAGUCCCCAACCUUUAAAAGCACCUUUUAAAAGCACAGAAUCCAUCCCAACCCAGUAGAUUCAAAGAUAGCUCUGCCAGUGUUUGUUCUAACUGUAGUACUAGACUAUUAAUUAGGUAAGAGCACAGUAAAUAAAGCUUAGUUCCUGCAAUGUAGGUCAUCUUUCAGUUGGAUAAUGUCUCUGUCUUACGUUAUGUAACACACAGACACUGUGGAGCUGUGUUUAGGUUAUCUCUUUUCAUUCAUUUGCAGAGAGCACUUUUUGACUGGAGCUUAUUUGCACAGCAUUAGGUAUUUCAGAUGGCACUUACAUAAAGUGUGCACUAGCAGCUGAAGAUGAUGAUUUUGGGUAAAGGUUUCUGACCUGUUUGCUACAGUAGUACAUUUAACACAGUGCUUACAUUAUAACAGUGUCUGCUUUAACCACUCAAAUGAAUUGUACAUUUAAUUAUGUGCUAACAGGAUCAGCUGUAAGUACCAUGUACAUAUUACGUAAAACCUAGUCAAAUGUGUGAGGCAUUCUUCUUGUCUCGCUCUCCCAAACUUUUCUUUGUGUAGGUACAUAAUACUGAUGUCCUGUGCACAGUGGUAGCCCUGUAUGAUGUAUGCCUGCCUGAAGAUGGACCUGAGGAUGUCCACUCCACUGUCUACUCACCUGGUGCCAGCACCAUUCUGCUUGUCAGGGACGAGAAAAGGAAGACUGGGAGAGGUUUAAUGGUGGAGUGAAUUAAUUCCUGCUGAAGGCGAUUGAUUGGCGUGUCCAGAGGAGGAAAGCACAGCAAAACAGAGAGAUCCUGCCUUCUGCCAUAGGGAUAGAGUCGUGGAUAGUGGCAGCUGCAACAUAUGAACUAAAACGACUGUCUGCCAGAGAAGCCAAAAUUGAAAGACUGACUUGCCAAACCAGGUGGUGGAAGUUGUAUAUGGAGUAACUACCAACCUAUCCUUGAGAACAUAUCAUGCUCCUGAAGGACCACUCAGUAUGUUGUUCUUAGGACGCCCUGCUUGUCCAUGGUGACAGAGAUGCGGUUGAAUUCUUUGCUCGCUGCAGAUUUUCUGAUGACAUCAUCCUCAACAGCAAGUUCGGUCAAUAUGAGGAUGACUGGACUAACACAAAAAUGAUGUUCCAACCUUUUCCAGUGGCUCCAGGAGAGUAAGGUCUCUGGCAGCAUACCAGGCCCAGCUGUGUGUAUGACCAGGCUGGUCCAAGAAGUUGCCACAGUUAGAAAACAGCUGGUCUCACAGAGGGAGUAGAUAGACACACUGAGCACAGAGCUGGAGAGAGAGGGAGGACAGACACCAGCUGGUUUUAGAAAGGGCAGAUGCUGUGAGCUCAACACUGGCUGGUACAACAAAGGUGUCUCACCUCAUCAUUCAGAUCCUGUGCUGUGGAAGCAUCGAGGGCCUGCUUCUUGUGUGCGUCUGCAAUCUGUGUCCCCAGGUCACCCAUCUCGUAGUCCAGGAGUCUGAAGUU